CUAUGAAUCCUCUCAUCUCUCAAACUCUCUUGAACUCUCUCGAAAUACUAGCCUCCCUCUACCUUCUUUCACCGAAAUCCAUGGCUUCUCAGGCCAUGGACGAUCUGCACUCACUCCUCUCCAUCUUUAAACCAUGGGUAUUUGAAGUUUUGGGGCCUAACCUCGAAGGUCCUCUCCCAGUUCUCAGAUCUACAGUUCUAGGG
This 203-nucleotide long non-coding RNA is filed under the name Nicotiana benthamiana. RNAcentral's name for it is "long non-coding RNA (NBEN_LNC005189)". Lineage: Eukaryota; Viridiplantae; Streptophyta; Magnoliopsida; Solanales; Solanaceae. The record is from RNAcentral.